CUGAGACCUUAGAACUUGUGUUGUAGA
Molecule: small RNA, 27 nt
Filed under: Bombyx mori (domestic silkworm)
Lineage: Eukaryota; Metazoa; Arthropoda; Insecta; Lepidoptera; Bombycidae
Description: ovarian small RNA-14876
Source: RNAcentral